This is a transfer RNA of Ovis aries (sheep), 69 nucleotides long. It matches the Rfam family "tRNA". Rfam says of the family: Transfer RNA (tRNA) molecules are approximately 80 nucleotides in length. Lineage: Eukaryota; Metazoa; Chordata; Mammalia; Artiodactyla; Bovidae. The record is from Rfam.
CCUGGUGGCUCAGAUGGUAAAGCAUCUGCCUGCAAUGCAGGAGACCUGGGUUCGAUCCCUGGGUCAGGA